Passer montanus (Eurasian tree sparrow) is the source of this 534-nucleotide long non-coding RNA. RefSeq lists it as uncharacterized. The record is from RefSeq and is a predicted model, not a curated record. NCBI's taxonomy places the organism in Eukaryota, Metazoa, Chordata, Aves, Passeriformes, Passeridae. The transcript has 3 exons.
CCCAGUGCCGCUGUGGCACGGGUGUCACAAGAGGUGUUGCAUGGGGACAACGGUGACAUUGAUUGCAACAGCCCCACCAGGCCCCUCAGCCUCUGCCCCUACAGCAGCAGGGAGGGAGCAGGGCCAGCCCCAGCACCCCCACAGCCAUGGGGCACUCCCGGGUUGGCCCAGGCCACUUGUGCCAGCAGCAACUGGGGCCUGUCCCACCCACCAGCACUGCUAUAAACCCAGCCUGUUUGGGGCACUGCAGCAUUGCCUGGCCCCAAGGGCAUCUGCACACAGCCAUUCCUGCUGCCUUUGCUGCUGCCUGAACACCAAAGCCUUUCUCAGGGAGCCCUGUGAAGUCCCGGGAGGAACAGCAGCCAUGAAGAUCCUGUUCCUGCUCUUCGCCCUGAUCCUCCUGUUGGUCCAGGGUGAUGCAGCAAGUGCAGCUUCAUGCCGUUCAAAACGGGGAAUCUGCGUCAAACAUUUUUGCCCCAGUGGUUCAUAUCGUGUUGUGGGAAGAUGUUCACGAGGCUUUGCAUGCUGUAAAAG